Molecule: long non-coding RNA, 1196 nt
Organism: Oxyura jamaicensis (ruddy duck)
Lineage: Eukaryota; Metazoa; Chordata; Aves; Anseriformes; Anatidae
Exons: 2
Source: RefSeq, a predicted model, not a curated record
ACAACAUCUCAUUUGUACCUUUCAGGCAUGUUCUUGUUCAACCAAUAUUCAUAUCAAGUUCUUCAACACAAUUUGCCUUCUACUGCUGUUCUGCUGUGUACAAGGCUGCACACAUUUGCAUUUGUUUUCUUGCAUCACUAAUUUUGAAUCAGCACAAUUCUGCAUAAAGUUCUUUAGCAAUCUAUGACAAAUUUAUACUGUUGGAGCACCUGUAACUAUUUACUGGAUUUUAGUAGUUAAAGGAUUAGCAAUUCUCACUGUAAAUCAGCAGGAUGGCCAUAGCUAGCUCAGUAAGAGUCUAACAGCAAAAUAAUUGUGCUAAGAACAAAUGACAUCACAGUCGUUUCAUUACUUUUACUCCCAAUGUAACUUGUGGAAUCCUAUGAAAAUCUACUUGCAUGCUCAGAGGAGCGAAAUAAUCUAGGUCAGCAAUAAAAGAGUUUGCUGAAACAAAGCCUGUUAUUGCACUGUCUGCAAACACAAGUUUGCGUAUGUCUAUUUGUUACCUGAGCUACUACAAGGAUCCCAGUAUUAAAGCAUAAAAAAAUAUUUAGGUCACUCAGCUAAUCUCUGGGAGUCUUUAUUUGCAAAAACAUGACCUUAAACAUAUGCAAACCAGAUGAGACUUCAGUUGCACUAACUGAAAACAUCUGGUUAAGUGACAACUGCAGAGAUCUAAGAGAUUAUAGAAACAUUGAAAUCACAUUUUUAUCCCUCUAAGUUGACAUGCAGUAAUGGUUCCACACUGGUCACUAAAGCAAAGCAUUCUCUUCGUCAGUUUAGAAGAAAUGUCUCUGUAGCACUUUGUACCAUAAUAAACAGGCUACAUAUGUAGCAACCUUUAUAAAGUUUAAAAGAUGAUUAACAAUAUAGUUCAGAAGCUUACUGUUCAGACUAAGUUUCUGGGAGAGAUUUUCAUGCCCCAAAUACGCAGCAGAUAGCACACGACCAGGAUGUGACGCUUGUCUGUUUUCAGUUGUACCCGUGGCAGAUACGACACUUGGUUUUGAAAUGUAGUGUAUUUCUAGAUAGGAUUUAAGUCUUUCUAGUACAACUAAGUGCCAUGGGCAGCUCAGAAGUUGUCUGAACAGCACGUGUAUGUUCACAGACCUGUGAACAGACGAAUCAAGAACGUGAGAUAGAGAUUGUCUAUGCAGUCUGAUCCCUAUCAUUUAAGGGAUUCUUUAAAAAAAAAA